Molecule: non-coding RNA, 73 nt
Organism: Trachymyrmex cornetzi
Lineage: Eukaryota; Metazoa; Arthropoda; Insecta; Hymenoptera; Formicidae
Source: Rfam
GCCUCGGUGAUCUAAUGGGUUAGGAUGCUCGUAUGGAAUACAAUAGAUCCGGGUUCAAGUCCUGGCCGAGCUA